AGCUCCUCCUCGCUGCACCCAGCACCACUACCGCCCUCUUGAGGCUAAAUAGUCUUGUGCAGCUCACAGGAGUAGCCAUUUUUGGAGUUAUUUUUGGG
Sander lucioperca (pikeperch) is the source of this 98-nucleotide long non-coding RNA. RefSeq lists it as uncharacterized. The transcript is spliced from 3 exons. Lineage: Eukaryota; Metazoa; Chordata; Actinopteri; Perciformes; Percidae. The record is from RefSeq and is a predicted model, not a curated record.